RNAcentral lists this unclassified non-coding RNA (354 nucleotides) under Hevea brasiliensis (rubber tree). Lineage: Eukaryota; Viridiplantae; Streptophyta; Magnoliopsida; Malpighiales; Euphorbiaceae. The record is from RNAcentral.
AAAAUUCAUGCGCCAUUGCUUUGAGUUUUCAUAUUUGCUAUAUAUAUGGUUGUUAAUGGUUUGUUUGCAGCCUUCUGCGUAUUUUCAAUUGGAUUGAAAAAUGCAGGAAUUUCGAAGGACUUUUCGAUGUUGACUUUGGGUGAUCCAACACAUUCCAUAUGAUAAAUCAUCUCAUUAAUCAUGCUUAAGAAUUGGAAUUUGGUAUCCCAAUGAAGUGCUUGAAGGGAUAAGAUGUUGGAAACAACUUCACUGAGGCCAGUUGGCUCUACACUAUUUACAAGCAUGCAAGUCUUGCAAGCUCUGCUUAAAACUUGCUCUUUCUUGUCAUUAAAAUUCCACCCAAAAAAAAAAAAU